Chelonia mydas (Green sea turtle) is the source of this 788-nucleotide long non-coding RNA. RefSeq lists it as uncharacterized. The transcript is spliced from 3 exons. The record is from RefSeq and is a predicted model, not a curated record. Lineage: Eukaryota; Metazoa; Chordata; Testudines; Cheloniidae.
GGGACUGUCUGUUACAAUGUGUUUAUGCGGUGCCUGGCCCAACAGGGCCUUGAUCUCCAGGUCUGUAGGCAGUAAUACAAAUAAUAAAAACGGGAUAGGGCUAUUGCGAUGGUUGGCAUGGGGGAGCUGCAUCCUUUGAGACGCAUUAAUAUAAGGCUGUACAAGGAACUAGAAUAGAUGCUGUAGUGAAGGGGAGAUGGGGGAGUGAGACGGGAUGGAACAAGUCCUUUCCCUCUCUAAUUUCCAUGGUUUUGUAGCUGGUCCCGGUCCACAUGGCAGGUACACAUUAGCCCCCACACAUGCUAAUGUCUAGUACUUAAAGCUCUGGCACCUCUGCUUGGCUAGUUAAUGGAUGCUGUUCACAUUCUCUGAGACACUCUGUCCUGGCUCCUGAGCUAAUCGCUUAGCCAAGUUGCAACUGUUUCACUUCCAUUGGUAACCCUUUUUCCCCCCCUCUCCCCCCACACCUUCCCUCCACAGGAUGUGGCGAACUUGCUUAUUCCAGUGUCUCUUUGAUGUGCGGCGCUUCCUCUGUGUCCUGACUCAGGGGACCUGAGCAGGGGAACAUUGGACUGCGUGGACAGCAGAACUUACUGGAUCUGCUUCAGCUCCCUGACACAGAACAGGAGUGAACAUGGCGAGGGAGGAAGAGAGGCAGGACGGUUAGGGCUUUAGCCUAGGAGUUGGGAAACCUGGUUCCAAUCGCCUGCUCCACUACAGGCUUCCUGUGUGACUUUCGGGGGUUCUCGGGGGAGAAAAAUUCCCUAAUGGCGGACAGAGCUGUCCCU